Molecule: transfer RNA, 84 nt
Filed under: Heterostelium pallidum
Lineage: Eukaryota; Evosea; Eumycetozoa; Acytosteliales; Acytosteliaceae
Description: tRNA-Leu
Rfam family: tRNA
About the family: Transfer RNA (tRNA) molecules are approximately 80 nucleotides in length. Their secondary structure includes four short double-helical elements and three loops (D, anti-codon, and T loops).
Source: RNAcentral
GGAAGUAUGACGGAACAGGUAGACGUGAUAGUUUUAGAAACUAUUUCUGUAAACAGAGUAAGGGUUCAAGUCCCUUUAUUUCCA